This 479-nucleotide ribosomal RNA is filed under the name Limosilactobacillus reuteri. RNAcentral's name for it is "bacterial SSU rRNA". It matches the Rfam family "Bacterial small subunit ribosomal RNA", at positions 65 to 514 of the family's 1533-position model. Lineage: Bacteria; Bacillati; Bacillota; Bacilli; Lactobacillales; Lactobacillaceae. The record is from RNAcentral.
ACUGAUUGAUGGUGCUUGCACCUGAUUGACGAUGGAUCACCAGUGAGUGGCGGACGGGUGAGUAACACGUAGGUAACCUGCCCCGGAGCGGGGGAUAACAUUUGGAAACAGAUGCUAAUACCGCAUAACAACAAAAGCCACAUGGCUUUUGUUUGAAAGAUGGCUUUGGCUAUCACUCUGGGAUGGACCUGCGGUGCAUUAGCUAGUUGGUAAGGUAACGGCUUACCAAGGCGAUGAUGCAUAGCCGAGUUGAGAGACUGAUCGGCCACAAUGGAACUGAGACACGGUCCAUACUCCUACGGGAGGCAGCAGUAGGGAAUCUUCCACAAUGGGCGCAAGCCUGAUGGAGCAACACCGCGUGAGUGAAGAAGGGUUUCGGCUCGUAAAGCUCUGUUGUUGGAGAAGAACGUGCGUGAGAGUAACUGUUCACGCAGUGACGGUAUCCAACCAGAAAGUCACGGCUAACUACGUGCCAGCAG